GGUCCCGUAGCUCAGUUGGAUAGAGUUUCCGUCCGAUAUGCGGAAUGACAUGGGUUCAAUCCCCCAUCGAGACGA
This 75-nucleotide transfer RNA is filed under the name Triticum aestivum (bread wheat). It matches the Rfam family "tRNA". From Rfam's summary of the family: Transfer RNA (tRNA) molecules are approximately 80 nucleotides in length. Their secondary structure includes four short double-helical elements and three loops (D, anti-codon, and T loops). The record is from Rfam by way of RNAcentral. RNAcentral also lists the same sequence under 1 other name. Lineage: Eukaryota; Viridiplantae; Streptophyta; Magnoliopsida; Poales; Poaceae.